UACAGAGGUCUCAAGCGUUGUUCGGAUUCAUUGGGCGUAAAGGGCGCGUAGGUGGCGGGGCAAGUCAGGUGUGAAAUCUCGGGGCUCAACCCCGAAACUGCACUUGAUACUGCCUUGCUUGAGUACUGGAGAGGAGAUUGGAAUUUACGGUGUAGCAGUGAAAUGCGUAGAUAUCGUAAGGAAGACCAGUGGCGAAGGCGAAUCUCUGGACAGUUACUGACACUGAGGCACGAAGGCCAGGGGAGCAAACGGG
This 253-nucleotide ribosomal RNA is filed under the name uncultured bacterium. RNAcentral's name for it is "partial 16S ribosomal RNA". It matches the Rfam family "Bacterial small subunit ribosomal RNA", at positions 524 to 776 of the family's 1533-position model. The record is from RNAcentral.